RNAcentral lists this ribosomal RNA (495 nucleotides) under uncultured bacterium. RNAcentral's name for it is "bacterial SSU rRNA". It matches the Rfam family "Bacterial small subunit ribosomal RNA", at positions 56 to 527 of the family's 1533-position model. The record is from RNAcentral.
UGCAGUCGAGCGAGAAGCGGGCUUCGGCCCGUUAGUAGAGUGGCAUACGGGUGAGUAACACGUGGGCAAUCUGCCCGGAGGUGGGGGAUAACUCUCGGAAACGGGGGCUAAUACCGCAUGAUAUCUCGAGGACCCCGGUCCUUGCGAUCAAAGCUAGCCUCUUCUUGAAAGCUAGCGCCACCGGAGGAGCUCGCGGCCCAUUAGCUUGUUGGUGAGGUAACGGCUCACCAAGGCUACGAUGGGUAGCCGGCCUGAGAGGGCGAUCGGCCACACUGGAACUGAGACACGGUCCAGACUCCUACGGGAGGCAGCAGUGGGGAAUAUUGCGCAAUGGGCGAAAGCCUGACGCAGCGACGCCGCGUGGAGGACGAAGGCCUUCGGGUCGUAAACUCCUGUCAAGGGGGACGAAUGUCGUGGGGAUGAAUAAGCCUCACGUUUGACGGUACCUCUGGAGGAAGCCCCGGCUAACUCCGUGCCAGCAGCCGCGGUAAUACG